This 73-nucleotide transfer RNA is filed under the name Lachnospiraceae bacterium AM25-27. RNAcentral's name for it is "tRNA-Lys". It matches the Rfam family "tRNA". From Rfam's summary of the family: Transfer RNA (tRNA) molecules are approximately 80 nucleotides in length. Their secondary structure includes four short double-helical elements and three loops (D, anti-codon, and T loops). Lineage: Bacteria; Bacillati; Bacillota; Clostridia; Lachnospirales; Lachnospiraceae. The record is from RNAcentral.
GGGUGUGUAGCUCAGGCGGUAGAGCACUUGACUUUUAAUCAAGUUGUCCGGGGUUCGAAUCCCCGCACGCUCA